Molecule: long non-coding RNA, 2233 nt
Organism: Manacus vitellinus (golden-collared manakin)
Lineage: Eukaryota; Metazoa; Chordata; Aves; Passeriformes; Pipridae
Exons: 2
Source: RefSeq, a predicted model, not a curated record
ACCUGGCCUUGGACACUUCCAGGGAUGGGGCAGCCACAGCUUCUCUGGGCAACCUGUACCAGGGCCUCCCCACCCUCACAGGGAACAAUUUCUUCCUAACAUUCAGUCUAAUUUAAGUAGGUUUAAGUACAAGAACCAAGAAUUUCUUUUGGCCUAAUGUGUGACUGAGCAGUCCAGUCCCUGUGGCUGUUGGUGAACACCCUCAGCACCCGUCGGUGUCAAGCCCUGUCCCUUCUCACGUGUGUUAGUGGUCAAACAUCCUGCAGCAACAACAGUGCCAUGCUACUGUGUGUAAAUAUUUGAGAUGUGUAUAUGGUAGAAUUCACUGUUUCCUGAAGUCAAUACAGUUUACACUGAGUGGACCAUAUUUGCAAACUAUUAGCUCACACCAAGAAAGGGAGUGAAUUGUGAUUUCAUUUGUAUUUAUUGAAUCAUAACUUUAAUAACACACAUUUGGUGGAAUUGAUAAUGAUCCAUAGCUGUGUUUUGGGGUGCAGAUUAUGUUCCUUUGCAGCUCGUGUUUUUGCACAAGGUUGUAAAUCCAGGAAGUAAUUGCUGUCUGGAUACACACUGAAUUUUUAAAAGCAAUCAGAAAACUAAAACUGCCAUCUAAGAAACAGCAGGAAAGAGGAAUGCUUCUAUUUUUCAAGUUUAGCACUUUAUGUUUGCAAUCUAUUUCUCUUAAGUUAUUUAAAAAUGUUUUUAAAAGCAAAGUUUAAUACGUAUGUUCAUAUUUACUGUACAUUGGAAUAAAUGGAUUCUCUUCUGGAAAUUUAAUCUUUUCCUCUAGUAGGCUCAUAAUUUGUACUUUCUGAGAGUGAAGCAUUGUUUUCUUCUUCUGUAUAGUAUCUGGUUUGUAGCCUUGGUGUUCUUACUAUUCCUUUAUUUGUCUGGUUUAUGUAGCAGUUCAUAUCUAACUCUUGUGCUUUGGGACUGUGCUCCAGGUGAUGCUGUAGGGUUGGGUGUGUGUCCCACCUUGUGCUCCUGCUUCCCAUGGCUCCAGGUGAUGCUGUAGGGUUGGGUGUGUGUCCCACCUUGUGCUCCUGCUUCCCUGCUGUAGGGAAGCCAGUGCUCUGUGCUGAGCUGCUGUGGUGGUAAAUUAAUGUGUAGGUUUUCUGACACAAACUGUUUUCUUCUUGCCUUUCUGCAAUAAUUCCACAUGUCACAACCCUCUUCAUCCCUUUUUUCCCCCCUUUCUCUCUGCAUUUGUUUUCUCCAUAGAGCUGGUCCUGUUCAUCUGUGCAAACAUUCAUUUCACUCAGCUCAAGGCACAAUGGAAACACAACGUUCUUUAUUCAACAGCAGCAGCUUAAAUCUGUGCAGGGUCUUAUCAGAAGUGGGCUGAGGAGUGAUGAGUGACAUCCCUGGUGUCCCCUUGGGGUUGAGAACUGUGUGCUGAGGGCUGUAGCUGUGGCUGGGCCAAAUUGAGCAGCACCAAGGGUGUUUCUCUGUGGUCUCCUGAGCUCUCACAGUGAAACGCCGGGACAGCCUCCCUCGUCCUCUGUAGUUGCUGGGGGGAGUUUUGCUGUAGUUGAGCUGGGUUUGUCAGAGAGCCCCAGAGAGCCAGGUGUGUGAAUCCCUAAAGCUGCUCUUUUGGCUUUAGCUGUUGAAGAAAGCUGCUGCAGCCUCUGAUGCAUCAUAAAUCCCUGGUUUGCAAAGUAGUGCCCUGAACCAGGGAUGGGGGCUCACUGUCCUGAGGUCUGUGCAGGGAACUGUUCCCAUGGGAUUGGGUGCAUCUCCACAAUUGCUGGGGCCAGUCCAGUGCCCACUUCAGCAUGAGCUGGAUGGGCUCUUUUAUUUAUUAUUAGUUAUUUAUAAGUAUUAUACUUAUUAUAUACUUAUUUCAUAAGUAUUAAACUAUGAUUUGCAUGAGAUCCUGGGUUUCACAGCUUUGCCAAUAUGGUCCAUUACUACUGCCUACGACAACUUGUGUACUUAUAUGCCUUUGAGAACAUUUUUAAUUGUUAAAAUUGUUUAAGAAAAUCAAUGUUAAGUUAAUUUAAUUUUUAAUGGGGAAAUGGAUUCUGGUGUCAAAAUGGUAUUUACUGUGAUGCCGAUGUUUUGUACCUGUCAUCUAGUUAAACAACGUGUAAAUACUCUUGAGUCAAGAGAAAUAUGAAUGCCAAUUAUUUAUUGUUCUGUGGAGUUAUAUGUUGCAGAUGUGUAAGAACUUUAAAAGGGAAUGUUGUAAAACAAGGUGGAAAAAUAAAUUUUAUGCAACUUCUUUACUUCA